This 572-nucleotide ribosomal RNA is filed under the name uncultured bacterium. RNAcentral's name for it is "bacterial SSU rRNA". It matches the Rfam family "Bacterial small subunit ribosomal RNA", at positions 69 to 627 of the family's 1533-position model. The record is from RNAcentral.
AAGAGAGGAGCUUGCUCUUCUUGGAUGAGUUGCGAACGGGUGAGUAACGCGUAGGUAACCUGCCUUGUAGCGGGGGAUAACUAUUGGAAACGAUAGCUAAUACCGCAUAACAAUGGAUGACACAUGUCAUUUAUUUGAAAGGGGCAAUUGCUCCACUACAAGAUGGACCUGCGUUGUAUUAGCUAGUAGGUGAGGUAACGGCUCACCUAGGCGACGAUACAUAGCCGACCUGAGAGGGUGAUCGGCCACACUGGGACUGAGACACGGCCCAGACUCCUACGGGAGGCAGCAGUAGGGAAUCUUCGGCAAUGGGGGCAACCCUGACCGAGCAACGCCGCGUGAGUGAAGAAGGUUUUCGGAUCGUAAAGCUCUGUUGUAAGUCAAGAACGAGUGUGAGAGUGGAAAGUUCACACUGUGACGGUAGCUUACCAGAAAGGGACGGCUAACUACGUGCCAGCAGCCGCGGUAAUACGUAGGUCCCGAGCGUUGUCCGGAUUUAUUGGGCGUAAAGCGAGCGCAGGCGGUUUGAUAAGUCUGAAGUUAAAGGCUGUGGCUCAACCAUAGUUCGCUUC